RNAcentral lists this ribosomal RNA (64 nucleotides) under Ganoderma lucidum. RNAcentral describes it as "partial 28S ribosomal RNA". Lineage: Eukaryota; Fungi; Basidiomycota; Agaricomycetes; Polyporales; Polyporaceae. The record is from RNAcentral.
UGACCUCUGACCUCAAAUCAGGUAGGACUACCGCUGAACUUAAGCAUAUCAAUAAGCGGGAGAA